RNAcentral lists this ribosomal RNA (443 nucleotides) under uncultured soil bacterium. RNAcentral's name for it is "bacterial SSU rRNA". It matches the Rfam family "Bacterial small subunit ribosomal RNA", at positions 26 to 496 of the family's 1533-position model. The record is from RNAcentral.
AGGAUGAACGCUGGCGGUCUGCUUAACACAUGCAAGUCGAACGGGCUCUUCGGAGCUAGUGGCGGACGGGUGAGUAACGCGUGAGGAUCUGCCCUUAGGACGGGGACAACAGCUGGAAACGGCUGCUAAUACCCGAUGUGCCGAGAGGUGAAACUAUUUGGCCUGAGGAUGAGCUCGCGUCUGAUUAGCUAGUUGGAGUGGUAACGGCACACCAAGGCGACGAUCAGUAGCUGGUCUGAGAGGAUGAUCAGCCACACUGGGACUGAGACACGGCCCAGACUCCUACGGGAGGCAGCAGGUGGGAAUUUCCGGCAAUGGGCGAAAGCCUGACGGAGCAACGACCGCGGUGCGGGGAGGAAGGUCUAAGUUGAUUGUAAACCGUCUUUUGAUAGGAAGAAGAUCUGACGUACUAGUCAAAUCAAGACAGUCGACUAACGUCCCGU